Molecule: long non-coding RNA, 240 nt
Filed under: Elaeis guineensis (African oil palm)
Lineage: Eukaryota; Viridiplantae; Streptophyta; Magnoliopsida; Arecales; Arecaceae
Description: long non-coding RNA (EGUI_LNC025547)
Source: RNAcentral
CUGAAAUUAGAAUUGGAAUAAAACUUCUCCAAUCAAAUGAUGAGAAUGUGAGUCAUCCAUUUCCAUUCCCAAUUCAAGCCCUAACUCUUCCUAAUCAAAUAUCUCCUUAAACUUUCAACCAGAGUUGGAGGUCUAUUUGAGUUUUUGCUUAAAUUGUGGUGGAAUAUAAAAGAAUGUUCCAAGAUUUGGGUGCUGAUCAACUCAAUUUGGUACGGUUUGAUGACACUUUAAAAGAUCUAG